Molecule: ribosomal RNA, 137 nt
Filed under: Coccinonectria pachysandricola
Lineage: Eukaryota; Fungi; Ascomycota; Sordariomycetes; Hypocreales; Nectriaceae
Description: partial 28S ribosomal RNA
Rfam family: Eukaryotic large subunit ribosomal RNA
Source: RNAcentral
UUGACCUCGGAUCAGGUAGGAAUACCCGCUGAACUUAAGCAUAUCAAUAAGCGGAGGAAAAGAAACCAACAGGGAUUGCCCUAGUAACGGCGAGUGAAGCGGCAACAGCUCAAAUUUGAAAUCUGGCCCUCGGGUCC